AACAGUGUCGGAUUGUUGUCGCGGGUACUGUUGUGUGCUUCAUGUGAACGGUGUACGGAAAGCAGCAGCAGCUGUGCAAAGUUUCAAAAAAAAAAAAACGAAAAGUAAGGCGGCUGAGCAGCAGCCGACCGACCGAAUUAAAUACAUUACGCGAGUGCUGCUAACGUUUAUUGUGUUUGCGAAUUGCGAUUUUUACGUUUUUAUUAUAAUUUUGUGCAAUGAUUUUGUUAAGUAAAACGCGUGAAUAACAGAAAAUGCGAAGCUAAGUAAGUGUAUGGAAGAAAGCAAAUGCAGAAAUUUAUUGAAUUCAAAAUGACUACUACUAACCAAAAAUACGACUAAGGGUCGCCCUCAAAUAACAAACUAAUAAUUCACAGACCAAAAAAAAAUUGGCAAUCGAAGCUAAAAAACAAAAUAACAAAAAAAAAGUUGUGCAACCCAAUUUGCACAAACUUUUUGCCGUUCGCAGAGGCGCAUGCUUGCGCAGAGUGGGAGGAAGAAGAGUGAAAAUGUUAUAAAAGUGCAUAGAAAAUUUAACUAACUAACAACAACUAACAAAGCAAGUAGUGUUCUAAAUAAUGUCUGUGUAACAGCCAAAAGUAAUGCAAAAAGUGUAAAAACCUCAAAAUUAACGACCGCAAUCAAUACUUACUGUUCGAAACGGUUGCACUUAAUCACCAGUAACACCACCACCACCACCACCACCACUCAGCAUUGCACCAGCGACACCAACAGUGUUUCAGUUGCAAUUAGAAUAACAAUAAAAAAUAAACAAAUCAAUCAAGUGCAAUGUGAAAGCAACUGACUGUAGUAGCAACAAAAACAACA
This is a long non-coding RNA of Rhagoletis zephyria (snowberry fruit fly), 828 nucleotides long. RefSeq lists it as uncharacterized. The record is from RefSeq and is a predicted model, not a curated record. Lineage: Eukaryota; Metazoa; Arthropoda; Insecta; Diptera; Tephritidae.